GAACCGGCGUAAGGGGCAGUAAGGCAUGGGUAACCUACCCCGAGGUCCGGGAUAGCCAUCAGAAAUGGUGGGUAAUACCGGAUGAACUCGUGAGAGCAAAGGUCCGCCGCCUCGGGAGGGGCCCAUGUGGUAUUAGCUAGUUGGUAGGGUAAUGGCCUACCAAGGCGAAGAUGCCUAGCGGGUGUGAGAGCACGACCCGCGCCACUGGCACUGAGACACUGGCCAGACACCUACGGGUGGCUGCAGUCGAGAAUCUUCGGCAAUGGGCGCAAGCCUGACCGAGCGACGCCGCGUGCGCGAUGAAGGCCUUCGGGUUGUAAAGCGCUGUCGAGGGGAGGAAAAGCCCCACAAGGGCUUGAUCGGCCCCUGGAGGAAGCACGGGCUAAGUUCGUGCCAGCAGCCGCGGUAAGACGAACCGUGCGAACGUUGUUCGGAAUCACUGGGCUUAAAGGGUGCGUAGGCGGGUUGUCCAGUCUGGGGUGAAAUCCCACGGCUCAACCGUGGAACUGCCUCAGAUACUGACGACCUCGAGGGAGGUAGGGGCGAGCGGAACUGUGGGUGGAGCGGUGAAAUGCGUUGAUAUCCACAGGAACUCCGGUGGCGAAGGCGGCUCGCUGGACCUCUGCUGACGCUGAGGCACGAAAGCUAGGGGAGCAAACGGGAUUAGAUACCCCGGUAGUCCUAGCCCUAAACGAUGGGUACUAGGUAGUAGGCUAGACAUGGGCUUACUGCCGUAGCAAAAGUGCUAAGUACCCCGCCUGGGGAGUAUGGCCGCAAGGCUGAAACUCAAAUGAAUUGACGGGGG
This 805-nucleotide ribosomal RNA is filed under the name uncultured Planctomycetales bacterium. Its description in RNAcentral is "bacterial SSU rRNA". It matches the Rfam family "Bacterial small subunit ribosomal RNA", at positions 92 to 919 of the family's 1533-position model. The record is from RNAcentral. Lineage: Bacteria; Pseudomonadati; Planctomycetota; Planctomycetia; Planctomycetales.